GCAGGAAGCUCCAUUGCAGCAACAGCUGGUUUCGCCAUUGUUGCUUCAUUUUGAACAUCUUCUUCAUGAAAAAGUUCAACUUUUGGAGUCUUAAAAAACCCGUUUGGCUUUAAUUCUUCUUGCUUUUCCAUGAGAGAUGGAGGAACCUUCUCUAUUUCCUGUUGGGGAAAAUCUUCUUUCGGUGUAGUACCUUUCAUCUUGUUUGCGGCUUUGCUGGGCUUCGUCUUU
RNAcentral lists this unclassified non-coding RNA (228 nucleotides) under Hevea brasiliensis (rubber tree). The record is from RNAcentral. Lineage: Eukaryota; Viridiplantae; Streptophyta; Magnoliopsida; Malpighiales; Euphorbiaceae.